GGACCAAAUCUCAGCUUUAUUUCUCUAGAAUAGGAAAUAGAGAUAUCGUUGUCAUCUUAUGUUUUUUCUCACUUGAUCUGAUCUAUGAUCUGUUGAAACUUGAUCAUCUGUUCUUGCAAGUGAGGUUUUGUUGCUACAUUUCUGAACUUCAAAAUUAGAAAAAUAAUAUCCUGAAGCUUCUAAUACUUACAGUUGAGCUGACUUUAUAUUCUGUUUACACCUACCAUUUUACAUAAAUCUUUAUGCCUUUUAUUUAGAAGACAACAUAAAAAUUAAAAGAGAAAAAAUAUCCCCCAUAUUCAUAAUACCUCUCUAUGGACUAUUCUUUUGUGGGAUAAGGUAGGUGGGAGAAUGGAAGAGUAGCAGACCCAUUAGAAUACAAAACAUUGAUUCAAGUUUGACACACCACACCACGGUGGAUGUGCCUUGUCAUGACACAUCUUCUCAGCAGCACUAGAAGAUACAUCCAAAGUCCUGUGAGCAAGGACACAGCGAGAAGAUGGCUGUCUACAAGCCAGGAAGAGAGUCCUCACCAGAACCAAACCCUGCUGGACUUUGAUCUUGGACUUCCCAGCCUCUAAAACUGUGAAGACAUAAAUUUCUGUUGUUAAACCC
This 615-nucleotide long non-coding RNA is filed under the name Homo sapiens (human). RNAcentral describes it as "HSALNT0322651". Lineage: Eukaryota; Metazoa; Chordata; Mammalia; Primates; Hominidae. The record is from RNAcentral.